Molecule: long non-coding RNA, 3535 nt
Filed under: Nicotiana tabacum (common tobacco)
Lineage: Eukaryota; Viridiplantae; Streptophyta; Magnoliopsida; Solanales; Solanaceae
Description: long non-coding RNA (NTAB_LNC009051)
Source: RNAcentral
GACAGUAUAUUGGUUUGUAUUACGUGAAUAUGAUAAUUUUUACAAAUGAUCAUACCCCAUUUAUAUAGUAAGGGAGUCCUACUCUUGAUACAGUUUUAUAUGAGGUAAGAAAUCUCAUGAUUAGCUAAUUAAUCGGCCUCUUCUUGAUACGUGCCGGGAUUUUCGCCCGAUUGCGGAUAUUUCGAUUUUCGUUAUUUGGCUCGGUAAGUUUCCUUCGAUCUUGCUCGAUCUCUAUCUUGCUCGAUCUCGAUCUUGGCCGAUCCCGAUCUCGAUCUUGAUCAGUCUCUGGGUCAUGAGCUCGACGAUCUAACUUUGCACCAUGGUUGGAUAUAACACGGUGUAGAACCUUGACCUAUCGUAUUCCAAUCUCGAUUAGUCACACAAAGGGCAAACCCGAUUUUGACUGUAUACACCCCUUUGGAAGACGGAUUAUCACAAAUUAGUUUGAAAUAAAUAAAGUACUCCCUUCGGUCCACAAUAAGUGACUAAUUUGCUUUUUUUUUUUCCCAAAAUAAGUGUCCAUUUAUAUAAUCAAGAAAAAUAUUCAAUUUGUUUUUUCAAAAUUACCCUUAUGCACAUAUCUCUAAAAAAUUAUUUACUCCUCACAUUUGGGGAGAGAAGUAAGUACUACUAUAAUUAUGGUGCAACAUUUAAUGAAGGGUAGUUUAGUCACACUAACUAUUUUUAUCUAGAAUUUAGUUUCUUAAUGGGUAUGCCCCAACCAAAUUGGUCACUUAUUGAGGACCGGAGGGAGUAACUUAAAACUAAGAAUUUUCGGAUCAUUAAAAAAAAAAUAAUCUACGUAGGAGUGAAGCCGUUUGUUUCUUCUUUUCGAAGGCGUUUGUUUGAAAACUAGAUAUAAGCAGUCCAUGCUAAAGUCAGCCUGGAUAAUUUAUUUUUUUGCAAGUCUUUUCUGUUUCUAUAUUUUUUUUCCUAGGUGCUAGUCAAUUAAGAUUUGACAAUAUCAAAUAAUUGGCAUAUGUGCAUGAGCACACUAAAAAAAGAAACGAACUUAACAGAAAUUGUGAAAUGCAUCAUGCAACUCAAAUGCAUAUACAGCUUUGAUAGGUAAAUAAAAUUUGAAUAAGUAAAUAUGAUUUCAAUUGGCCAAUUGAAUUUCUUUUACCAUGGCCACUGUGCUCCUGAGAUUAAUGAAUAUAAAAGAAAGAAAAGUUUGUCAACUUCCUACCUCCCUGAGAACCAGUACUAAAUGAGGUAUUUAUACAUAACUGGAGGGAGCUACCUGAAGAGGCUAAAAGAUAGUUAAGGAUGGAUAAAUUACUUGCAAUUCUCAUCUUCCAGGGCGUAAAUAGCAAAAAGGAUAUACCAAUUUUGAAAACUAACAAGAAUACAUAUCUAAUUUAGGAAUGAUAAGGUUGUACAUAGCUAAUAUAAAUGGAGUCCUUCAUGAUCUUAGAUUUGUAAGAAUUGGGUGGCUGUAUAUUGUUUCAGGAAAGCUAGGCUCAAAGUCCUCUUCCUUAUGUAAUCGUGUUUAAGCAUAUAUAACCUUUUCCAUCCAAAAAUCAAGCAGGGAGGUUCCUUUACAAAAAAAGACCGCUAUUACAAAAUGGUGAAAAACUAAAUAUCAUCUUGAACAGGGAACUACUUCGAUCAUAGUUGAAGACUGGUAAAAUCCAUUCAAACCAUCAAAAGAAGAAUAAGAUUAGAGUAGAGUGCUAGUACAAUAUAGGAAUGCAAAACAAGAGAAAGAAACUGUUUAAAUAUUAAUACCAAAUUGGCUCGAAAAUAACAUUGUGUGAUAUUAUUUUUUUUUGGGUAAGUAGCAUAAGUUCCUGUGUAAUUCUAAUCUUGAUGCUCUUCUCCCAAGCAAUCCACAGAAUCUCAAGCAACUUGGCGUGCGAUGUUAUCAAUUAGUUGAUCUAUUAGUGUGCCUAAAACAUAGCAACAUUCAUAUUAAAUUUUACAUAAGUCACCUCACAUAAUUGUUACAAAAUGGGCUUAACUAAUUAACACAUUAGCUUUAUUAUCUCACAUAUUAAUAUUAUUAACUCAAACACUCAAGAUUAUAAAAAAUAUCAAUGAAAACAUUCAAACAUCCAAAGAUCGAAAGAAACACAUAUUCUUGCAUUAAAAGCUAUCGCAUUGAAUAAUAAAAUGCCAGCCCUAAUAUCUUGCAAUAUAGCUUUUAAAGAAUCCAUUUGGAACUCCAAAUCUUGCCCCUUCUUUAAAUAACCUCAAUUGUUUAUUUAAACGUCACCUCACCAAAAUAACUUUCUCCUAAAAGAACUUACAUGUAAGCCCGAGAAAUCAAAAAAUUAUCCAACAACUCAAAAUUAGGAUUACUAUUCACAUUUAGUUUAACUAACACAAAACUAAUUGAAAAGAAGUGGCCUCAUGCCCUUAUCUUUUGUUCAGAAAAGGAAUUCACAAGAAUGCUACAACCAAUAAUGAAGGUAAAAACUGAACCAUAUGUCUAGAAGUCUUGUUGAUCAAAUAUAUAUCAUCAGAUAAGCAAAAUAAAGUUAGAUAUAACAUGCUCAACUAAACCUUUGCCAUUCAACACUUUUUAGCUACUUUUUAUACAAAAAAAGAAGGAAAAGAACGCCAGCAACUAAUGCUUGUUGCACCUGAAAUUGGUACAUUAUAAACUCACACAUAAUUCAAGAUAAGUCGAAUAACUCCAAUUCAGGAUUGACUACUAAUAUCUUUUUGUCUAAUGACAUAAAAAAAAGCUAAAAGGCUCAUACUAUCCGGAAAAAGUCAUCGCAUUGGUAAAAAAUUGACAAUAUGCUUUAUAUUUGAGGCAUGUAAGGUGUAUUCAUUACUGGAAGCACCAAGAAAGUGUUGGUUUACGAAAGAUAAAAGAAACUGGAGAUCCAAGAGCACCUACAAUAAAUGAUUGAUAGGUUUAUCUCUAAAAUUAAUUGCCACAACAAAAACAGAAAGACAUUUAAAAUAUAUGCCUAAUCUUCGUGGAAAGGUUUUCUAAUGCUUCAUAAGGUAGGAGUACUUUAAACACACUUGUUUAAAGUAUGCAAGAAUAUGUGUGUCAACAAACUUCAUACAAUAGAGGAGCAGAAAGCUAUGACUUUUCUGCUGAAGCCACUGGAUAUGGCGGCAAAGUUGCCGGUGAUGUCAUUUUUUGCUGCACGUUCUACCAUUUGACUCUGAUUAUAAAGCUCAUUUGUUUAUUUACAACAUUCUAACAUCCCCAAUUUAGAAUUUUAUGUAAAAAUUAUAGAAUCCCAGAAACUACAGAAUCAUAAUUAUCAAUUUAUAACCAAAAAAAUAAAUGCAAACACUUAAAUUAAUUAAUUACCUUUCUGAAGCAAAGUUGGACCUUUAGAGUAAGCUAAACCCAAUUUGUAUAUUCAAAUACUUGGUUAAGAACUCCAUGAAUCGAACUGAAAUGUCAAGCAACACCACUUUAGAGAAACCUAAUGGCAGAAAUGAAGCUUCAUUUAUUUGAGAUUUCACAAAUCAAAGACGAAAUUUAUGUUUUAGGAACAAAAGAAAGUUCUAGAAAAAAUAACGAGCGAAGAGUUUGAGAGAGAGACAAAGAGUCCAAAAUGAG